UUUGUCCUGCAUUUUUUUUUAGCUGUAAUCUCUGUCCUGCCUUUUUAUUUUUCACUCUGUUCGGUCCUGCCUUUUUUUUUAGUUUAUCCUGACUUUUUUUUACCUAAAUUGUCGUCCUGGCUUUUUUUUUUUGCAAGUGACUCAUCCUGCCUUUUUUUUUACUCAAAACUCCUGUCCUGCCUAUUUUUUUCAAAUUUCAUCCUAGCCCCCCCAUAAAAAUCAGAUGGUAGCUCCCUAAAAUUGAAAUCAUCUCUUCUUAAAUUGAUGGACGCCAUCACAAAUUGGUUGACCAUUAUGGAUUAUCCAAUUGUCUUAACUAUAAUCCUGUCCCCUUUUCCCCAAUUGUGACUUGUCAAUUAAGACUGCUCACUGGGUUUGUACUCAC
This 385-nucleotide long non-coding RNA is filed under the name Mytilus galloprovincialis (Mediterranean mussel). The record is from RNAcentral. Lineage: Eukaryota; Metazoa; Mollusca; Bivalvia; Mytilida; Mytilidae.